This 441-nucleotide ribosomal RNA is filed under the name uncultured bacterium. Its description in RNAcentral is "partial 16S ribosomal RNA". It matches the Rfam family "Bacterial small subunit ribosomal RNA", at positions 338 to 795 of the family's 1533-position model. The record is from RNAcentral.
CCUACGGGUGGCUGCAGUGGGGAAUAUUGCACAAUGGGCGAAACCCUGAUGCAGCAACGCCGCGUGAAGGAAGACGGUUUUCGGAUUGUAAACUUCUGUUCGUAGUGAAGAAUAAGGACGGUAGCUAAGGAGCAAGCCACGGCUAACUCCGUGGCAGCAGCCGCGGUAAUACGUAGGUGGCAAGCGUUGGCCGGAAUUACUGGGCGUAAAGGGAGCGCAAGCGGGCAGCCAAGUCAGCUGUGAAAACGACGGGCUUAACUUGUAUACUGCAGUUGAAACUGGUUUUCUUGAGUGAAGUAGAGGUUGGCGGAAUUCCGAGUGUAGCGGUGAAAUGCGUAGAUAUUCGGAGGAACACCGGUGGCGAAGGCGGCCCCCUGGGCUUUAACUGACGCUGAGGCUCGAAAGUGUGGGGAGCAAACAGGAUUAGAUACCCUUGUAGUC